Molecule: long non-coding RNA, 188 nt
Organism: Uloborus diversus
Lineage: Eukaryota; Metazoa; Arthropoda; Arachnida; Araneae; Uloboridae
Exons: 2
Source: RefSeq, a predicted model, not a curated record
GAUAAUUGGAGCAUUAAGGGAAAGCGUAGGAAGACAACCGGCACUGGUCGUCUUAGGCAUUUGAGAAAAGUUUGGAGGCGUUUCAGGCAUGGAUUCAGAGAAGGUGGUCAGGCUAAACCCCAGAAACACGGUGUUGCAGCAUCUGGUGCAUCUAAAUAAUUGGAUCAGUUAAUAAAAUAUUUCCAUCA